GCAAGAAGCUAAGGAACAGCAGGGUCUCAGCAAACGCACACACUGAAUGACCGGACAGUAAAUCAAUUUAUCAGCUUCCUGUGCCUGCUUGAAGAUGUGAGCACUCAGCUUUCUACUCCUGUUCCAGCCAGCUCGCCAUGCCUCCCGUCAUGAUGGACUCUAAUCCCUCUGGAACCUGGAAACAUAAGCUCAAACCUCCAGGAAUUCUCCAAGCCUUCAGCACCAGAUUGGGACUACUGAGGCAUCCA
Long non-coding RNA from Nannospalax galili (Upper Galilee mountains blind mole rat), 248 nucleotides. RefSeq lists it as uncharacterized. The record is from RefSeq and is a predicted model, not a curated record. The transcript is spliced from 3 exons. Lineage: Eukaryota; Metazoa; Chordata; Mammalia; Rodentia; Spalacidae.